This 513-nucleotide ribosomal RNA is filed under the name uncultured Campylobacterota bacterium. RNAcentral's name for it is "bacterial SSU rRNA". It matches the Rfam family "Bacterial small subunit ribosomal RNA", at positions 185 to 718 of the family's 1533-position model. The record is from RNAcentral. Lineage: Bacteria; Pseudomonadati; Campylobacterota.
GUUAUAAGACAAGUCGGGAAAGUUUUUUCGCUAAGGGAUCGGGCUAUACGGUAUCAGCUUGUUGGUGAGGUAAUGGCUCACCAAGGCUAUGACGCCUAUCUGGUCUGAGAGGAUGAUCAGACACACUGGAACUGAGACACGGUCCAGACUCCUACGGGAGGCAGCAGUGGGGAAUAUUGCACAAUGGAGGAAACUCUGAUGCAGCAACGCCGCGUGGAGGAUGACACAUUUCGGUGCGUAAACUCCUUUUAUGUGAGAAGAUAAUGACGGUAUCACAUGAAUAAGCACCGGCUAACUCCGUGCCAGCAGCCGCGGUAAUACGGAGGGUGCAAGCGUUACUCGGAAUCACUGGGCGUAAAGCGCGCGCAGGCGGCCUUUCAAGUUGGAUGUGAAAUCCUAUGGCUCAACCAUAGAACUGCAUCCAAAACUGUUAGGCUAGAGUCUGGGAGGGGAAGAUGGAAUUAGUUGUGUAGGGGUAAAAUCCGUAGAGAUAACUAGGAAUACCAAAAGCGA